Asparagus officinalis (garden asparagus) is the source of this 614-nucleotide long non-coding RNA. RefSeq lists it as uncharacterized. The transcript has 3 exons. The record is from RefSeq and is a predicted model, not a curated record. NCBI's taxonomy places the organism in Eukaryota, Viridiplantae, Streptophyta, Magnoliopsida, Asparagales, Asparagaceae.
GCGAUGACGAUGAUAAAGUCUAAAUCUCAGAUCCAGCGCAAGCGGAAAAAAGGAGAAAAUGGAAGAAAAAAAACCCCCUAAUUUUUCUCGUCUCCUCUGCGUCGAUCUUGUCUGCGGCCAUGGCGGGGCAGCGAAAGCUGCAGCCAAUCGUCCGUACAGAGGGAGAUCAGAGGAGGGGGAGGAUCCAUUAUCAUGAUAGAUUAAAGAUCCAUGUGCAUAAGGGGCAUCAAAAUGAAGAAAUAGCUUGAGCUCGAGAAAGAGGAGAUCAAAAGCCAGAGGUCGAGCUCGAGAAAGAGGGGAGAGAUGAUCGGAAGCUAGAGGGAGUUUGAAGGAGGAAGACUCGAGCGAGAGAAUGGGUUUGGGGGCGGGAACGAAGGACGAAGACUUAGAAAUUUUCCGAGUUCUAGCGAUCACGAGAAAAGUGAAAUGGGGCGGAAAUGUGGUUAGGGUGUUUGUUUAAUAUUUUAAUAAUAUGGUGUCAGGUUUCUGGGUGUUUUCAGCUUAUUUUGAGUGAAAAAUAAUUUCUGUAAAAUUGUACAGUUUUCUAUACUUUACAGAAAACUUUUCUGUAAAUUUAAUGUUGAACCAAAUACAAUUUAUGGAAAUUUUGAGAA